RNAcentral lists this ribosomal RNA (468 nucleotides) under uncultured bacterium. RNAcentral's name for it is "partial 16S ribosomal RNA". It matches the Rfam family "Bacterial small subunit ribosomal RNA", at positions 28 to 507 of the family's 1533-position model. The record is from RNAcentral.
GACGAACGCUGGCGGUGUGCCUAACACAUGCAAGUCGAACGGAAAGGCCCUGCUUUUGUGGGGUGCCCGAGUGGCGAUCGGGUGAGUAACACGUGAGUAACCUGCCCUUGACUUUGGGAUAACUUCAGGAAACUGGGGCUAAUACCGGAUAGGAGCUCCUGCAGCAUGGUGGGGGUUGGAACGUUUCGGCGGUUGGGGAUGGACUCGCGGCUUACGAGCUUGUUGGUGGGGUAGUGGCUUACCAAGGCUUUGACGGGUAGCCGGCCUGAGAGGGUGACCGGCCACAGUGGGACUGAGAUACGGCCCAGACUCCUACGGGAGGCAGCAGUGGGGAAUAUUGCACAAUGGGCGGAAGCCUGAUGCAGCAACGCCGCGUGCGGGAUGACGGCCUUCGGGUUGUAAACCGCUUUCGCCUGUGACGAGGCGUGAGUGACGGUAAUGGGUAAAGAAGCACCGGCUAACUACGUG